AUUGGGUUUUUUUUUUUUCUUCAUAGGGUUUUGGGAAGACUGAGGCAAUCGUUGCUGAAGUCAGUGUUGUAAUGGUGAAUCGGGAUUUUUAAUGAAGUGGGUGUGAUUACUCUUGACUAUUUUGUGAAAUCGAAGUUACGUCUAUGAUUGAAGAAUUAAAAGGGUAUCUAUAGGAUUGAGUAUGCAGAGUGAAUGAAAUUUAUUGGGUUAAUCUAACGAGACAGUCAGUGGAUACAAGAUCGUGAGUAUAAAGCGGUAUUGAAGAUUAGCAGUUUGGGUUGUUCG
This 285-nucleotide long non-coding RNA is filed under the name Physcomitrium patens. Its description in RNAcentral is "long non-coding RNA (PPAT_LNC013311)". The record is from RNAcentral. Lineage: Eukaryota; Viridiplantae; Streptophyta; Bryopsida; Funariales; Funariaceae.